UACAGAGGUCCCGAGCGUUGUUCGGAUUCACUGGGCGUAAAGGGUGCGUAGGCGGUUCUGAAAGUCUGAUGUGAAAUCUCCAGGCCCAACCUGGAAACGGCAUUAGAAACUACAGGGCUAGAGGCUUGGAGGGGGAACUGGAAUGCUCGGUGUAGCAGUGAAAUGCGUAGAGAUCGAGCGGAACACCAGUGGCGAAGGCGAGUUCCUGGACAAGUCCUGACGCUGAGGCACGAAAGCUAGGGUAGCAAACGGG
RNAcentral lists this ribosomal RNA (253 nucleotides) under uncultured bacterium. RNAcentral describes it as "partial 16S ribosomal RNA". It matches the Rfam family "Bacterial small subunit ribosomal RNA", at positions 524 to 776 of the family's 1533-position model. The record is from RNAcentral.